Diorhabda carinulata is the source of this 299-nucleotide long non-coding RNA. RefSeq lists it as uncharacterized. The transcript has 2 exons. NCBI's taxonomy places the organism in Eukaryota, Metazoa, Arthropoda, Insecta, Coleoptera, Chrysomelidae. The record is from RefSeq and is a predicted model, not a curated record.
AUACUGGUCACGUAACAAUCCUCGUUGGAUGCAUGAAUCCCACACCCAAUAUCCCAAAACUGAAUGUAUGAACUGGAAUAACAGGCGACAAAAUAAUUGGUCUCUUUGAGGGUAACUUAAAUGGUCCGGCGUAUUUAGAUUUGUUGGAAAAUAGUAUUAUACCUGAGUUGGCUCGGAUGUUUCCAAAUCCAAACAGUAACAAUAUCCCAAACGACAAUAUUUGGCUACAACAAGAUGGUUCCUUACCUCACUAGGCGUGUGUGGUGAGGCAAUACCUAAAUAAUGUGUUACCCAGAAAA